Long non-coding RNA from Mirounga angustirostris (Northern elephant seal), 1597 nucleotides. RefSeq lists it as uncharacterized. Lineage: Eukaryota; Metazoa; Chordata; Mammalia; Carnivora; Phocidae. The transcript is spliced from 7 exons. The record is from RefSeq and is a predicted model, not a curated record.
UCCCACCCACACCUCUUUCCCCAGAGGGAGGACCUGUCGUUGGGACGUUUGCACAGGCUUCAUUCCUCUGGACGGGGUUGGACCAGGCCAGGAACCCCAUUUGGCCUCUCCUUUUCCUCCCUAACUGCCAUGUGUCACUUCCCGCUAACUCGGGCACAGCCAGUUUGACUCUGGCUGGGAGAGAGAAGGUUUCCCCAACCUUGCCUUUUGCCUCAGCUCCAGGCCAGAUGCUCUGAUCUCCCCCUCUGUCCUCAGAACCACGGUUUCCACAGCAGGCUUAGAUGGGAAACCUGGAGCUGAGAAGACAAAUCCAGCAGGAGCCAGAGAGGCCUCUGCUUCGCUGGUCUGGAGAAAGCAACUGCUCGAUUUUGGGUCUGCCCCUCAGACGGCAGAGCUCCGGGUCACCAGCCUAAACCGCUUAAUGCACAUCACGCCACGGUCUACUUGGAAAUGGCUGAAGGCACUUAAAUGGAACAUCCAACCUUUGUCCUCAGCCCCCAGACCACAGAUGCUGUGGCAAGUCCUUUCCAAUGCAACGUGAACACAACAUGGCUCAGGUUCCAAUGCUCUUGCUGUCCUGCCCCAUGGCCAUGUGUUAUCUGUAAUUUUGAAGCGGGUUGGUGCAUGCUAAGACCCAAGAAGACUACCAAUAGCCCUUACCACCAUUAUUCCCUCAGAGCCCUUGAGGGAAAAAAGCCCCCAGGAAAGAUUUUCUUUCUUUAUUUGAGAGAGAGAGAGAUAGAGAUAGUGAGAGAGAGCACAAGUGGGGAGAAGAGGGAGAAGCAGGCUCCCCGCAGAGCAAGGAGCCUGAUGCGGGGCUCAAUCCCAGGACCCCGGGAUCAAGACCUGAGCCGAAGGCAGACACUUAACUGACUGAGCCACCCAGGCGCCUGGAAGACUUUGUUUUAAAAGAAAAGAAUGGCAGAAGCGGCGCUGUCCAGAGUCUCUUGGCAGAGACCACCCAGCCUAAAGCACCAUCUGGGCAUUCAAGCUCCCCAAAUAACUGCUGGGGAAAUGUGGGCACGUCUUAUCCCAACACAGCACGACAAACAGAACCCAUUAAGCAAAGCAAAUUUUGCUUGUGGCCUGGAUACAGACACAGGUGCAACGAAAGCUUCAAGUCUUUUUAAGCAAUUCCAUUUUCUCAAAAGACUCUCCAUGAUCCUUCCCAAGUCACUCACCUUUGUUGGUUUCUUCUUCGAAGCAACACAUCGAAUUUCCUGUUUUACGCCUGGCAACAACCCCCCGCAUUGAGGUUACCUAACACUUCACGUAGUUCUUAGGGCCUUUGAGCAGCAUGACCCUCCCCCUUAACCCUCACCCCCAUAUCUAGCUCAGUAUAACUUCAUGUAACACUCAAUAAAUAUUUGUUGAAUGACUGAAUGAAGUUGAAUCUGGUAUUUCCCAACUCCGAUAAAAUAGAAGAAAUCAAUGUUAGCUUUUCUAGCUAGCUAGAGAAACAGGAGAGCUAUAUAAAAUGAUCUGAAGGAAAAAUUGCAUCCAACAUUUUACUUCCAGGUCUCUGAAGGAGGCUGUUAUAACAAUGGACUAUAAAUACAGGGUGAAUGCUAUAUCUGUAAAGAAGCAAUGCUAACAG